Termitomyces sp. T32_za158 is the source of this 79-nucleotide non-coding RNA. The record is from the annotation of a GenBank genome assembly. Lineage: Eukaryota; Fungi; Basidiomycota; Agaricomycetes; Agaricales; Lyophyllaceae.
GGGGGUAUAGCUCAGCUGGGAGAGCAGCAGACUGAAGUUUGAUUUCUGAAGGUCCCGCGUUCGAUCCGCGGUACCCCCA